UGGGUGACCUGCCCUCAGCUCUGGGAUAAGCCUGGGAAACUGGGUCUAAUACUGGAUAUUCACUUCUCAUCGCAUGGUGGGUGGUGGAAAGUUUUUUCGGCUGGGGAUGGGCCCGCGGCCUAUCAGCUUGUUGGUGGGGGUAGUGGCCUACCAAGGCGACGACGGGUAGCCGGCCUGAGAGGGUGACCGGCCACACUGGGACUGAGACACGGCCCAGACUCCUACGGGAG
RNAcentral lists this ribosomal RNA (230 nucleotides) under uncultured bacterium. RNAcentral's name for it is "partial 16S ribosomal RNA". It matches the Rfam family "Bacterial small subunit ribosomal RNA", at positions 118 to 347 of the family's 1533-position model. The record is from RNAcentral.